Molecule: transfer RNA, 72 nt
Filed under: Bos taurus (domestic cattle)
Lineage: Eukaryota; Metazoa; Chordata; Mammalia; Artiodactyla; Bovidae
Also listed under: 5 other names
Rfam family: tRNA
About the family: Transfer RNA (tRNA) molecules are approximately 80 nucleotides in length. Their secondary structure includes four short double-helical elements and three loops (D, anti-codon, and T loops). Further hydrogen bonds mediate the characteristic L-shaped molecular structure. tRNAs have two regions of fundamental functional importance: the anti-codon, which is responsible for specific mRNA codon recognition, and the 3' end, to which the tRNAs corresponding amino acid is attached (by aminoacyl-tRNA synthetases). tRNAs cope with the degeneracy of the genetic code in two manners: having more than one tRNA (with a specific anti-codon) for a particular amino acid; and 'wobble' base-pairing, i.e. permitting non-standard base-pairing at the 3rd anti-codon position.
Source: Rfam by way of RNAcentral
UCCCUGGUGGCUCAGUUGGUUAAGAAUCUGCCUGCAAUGCAGGAGACCUGGGUUCGAUCCCUAGGUUGGGAA